UUCCUACGGGGGGCAGCAGUGGGGAAUCUUCCGCAAUGGGCGAAAGCCUGACGGAGCAACGCCGCGUGAUCGAAUGAAGGCCUUCGGGUUGUAAAGAUCUGUUGACAGGGACGAAUAAGCAAUGCGAAUAGUUUUGUGUAUGACGGUACCUGUUUAGAAAGCUCCGGCUAACUACGUGCCAGCAGCCGCGGUAAUACGUAGGGAGCAAGCGUUAUCCGGAUUUAUUGGGUGUAAAGGGUGCGUAGAUGGAUAAACAAGUUGUUUGUGAAAUACCUCGGCUCAACUGAGGAACUGCAAGCAAAACU
Molecule: ribosomal RNA, 305 nt
Filed under: uncultured bacterium
Lineage: Bacteria
Description: bacterial SSU rRNA
Rfam family: Bacterial small subunit ribosomal RNA
Source: RNAcentral